UCAAGCGACUUAAGAGCAUUUGGUGGAUGCCUUGGCACUGAGAGGCGAUGAAGGACGUGGUACGCUGCGAAAAGUUACGGGGAGCUGCGAACAAGCUUUGAUCCGUAAAUAUCCGAAUGGGGCAACCCCUGGCUUCGGCCAGACCUGCACAUGAAUACAUAGUGUGCUGGAGCAAACCGGGAGAACUGAAACAUCUAAGUACCCCGAGGAAAGGACAUCAACAGAGACUCCGCUAGUAGUGGCGAGCGAACGCGGACUAGGCCAAUGCCCAACGUGUAAGAACUGGAACAGGAUGGAAAGCCUGGCAACAAUGGGUGAUAGCCCCGUACAGGUAGAAAGCACGAUGGGAUACGAGUAAGGCGGGACACGUGAAAUCCUGUCUGAACAUGGGGGGACCACCCUCCAAGCCUAAGUACUCCUCAGUGACCGAUAGCGAACUAGUACCGUGAGGGAAAGGUGAAAAGCACCCCGACGAGGGGAGUGAAAGAGCACCUGAAACCGAAUGCUUACAAACAGUAGGAGGGCGCAAGCCUGACUACGUACCUUUUGUAUUAUGGGUCAGCGACUUAUGAUUGACGUGCGAGCUUAAGCCGAUAGGUGGAGGCGAAGCGAAAGCGAGUCUGAAUAGGGCGAUUUAGUACGUUGAUAUAGACCCGAAACCAGUCGAUCUAGCCAUGAGCAGGCUGAAGGUGCAGUAACAUGCACUGGAGGGCCGAACGGGUAACCGUGGAAAAGGUUUCCGAUGACUUGUGGUUAGGGGUGAAAGGCUAAUCAAGGCUGGAGAUAGCUGGUUUUCCGCGAAAGAUAUUUAGGUAUCGCGUCGCAUGAAUACUCCGGAGGGUAGAGCACUGGAUGGGCUAGGGGGUCGUAUAGACCUACCAAACCCAACCAAACUCCGAAUAUCCGGAAGUACUGUGCGGCAGUCACACAGUGGGUGCUAACGUCCAUUGUGAAGAGGGAAACAACCCUGACCUACAGCUAAGGUCCCCAAAUAGUGGCUAAGUUAGGAAGGAUGUGAAGAUCCCAAAACAACCAGGAGGUUGGCUUAGAAGCAGCCAUCCUUUAAAGAAAGCGUAACAGCUCACUGGUCUAAAUAAGGGUUUUUGCGCCGAAAAUGUAUCGGGAAUUAAGCCACUUACCGAAGCUUAGGGUGCAGUCCGCAAGGGCUGCGCGGUAGCGGAACGUUCCGUAAGCCUGUGAAGGUUGACCCGUGAGGGCAGCUGGAGGUAUCGGAAGUGCGAAUGCUGACAUGAGUAACGAUAAACAGUGUGAGAGACACUGUCGCCGAAAGCCCAAGGGUUCCUGCUUAAAGUUAAUCUGAGCAGGGUGAGCCGGGUCCUAAGGUGAGGCCGAGAGGCGUAGCCGAUGGCAAUCAGGUUAAUAUUCCUGAGCUAGUGGUGGGUGACGAAUGCAAGAAGCUAUCCGAUGUUAUUGGAUUCGGAGGGUAGCGCAUGCGUUCCAGGAAAUAGCCCCCACAUCAACCCGUACCCGAAACCGACACAGGUGGGCAGGUAGAGUAUACCAAGGCGCUUGAGAGAACGAUGCUGAAGGAACUCGGCAAAUUACCCUCGUAACUUCGGGAUAAGAGGGCCCCGUCUUUGGGCAACCAGGGGCGGGGGGCACAUACCAGGGGGUAGCGACUGUUUAGCAAAAACACAGGGCUCUGCGAAGUCUAAAGACGACGUAUAGGGUCUGACGCCUGCCCAGUGCCGGAAGGUUAAGAGGAGAGGUUCACGCUUUGAAUCGAAGCCCCGGUAAACGGCGGCCGUAACUAUAACGGUCCUAAGGUAGCGAAAUUCCUUGUCGGGUAAGUUCCGAC
RNAcentral lists this ribosomal RNA (1819 nucleotides) under marine metagenome. RNAcentral's name for it is "bacterial LSU rRNA". It matches the Rfam family "Bacterial large subunit ribosomal RNA", at positions 1 to 1987 of the family's 2925-position model. The record is from RNAcentral.